AUUUAAGUAGUUUAUUUAAAAAUUUAGAAUUGUGGUUUCUGUGAAACUUAAUUGUCUUAAAUA
This 63-nucleotide transfer RNA is filed under the name Chudania hellerina. Its description in RNAcentral is "tRNA-His". The record is from RNAcentral. Lineage: Eukaryota; Metazoa; Arthropoda; Insecta; Hemiptera; Cicadellidae.